GACGAACGCUGGCGGCGUGCUUAACACAUGCAAGUCGAACGAUGAUGCUGGAGCUUGCUCCAGUUGAUUAGUGGCGAACGGGUGAGUAACACGUGAGCAAUCUGCCCUUGACUCUGGGAUAACUGCGGGAAACUGUAGCUAAUACCGGAUACUUUCACCGGAAGGCAUCUUCUGGUGAUGAAAGAAUUUCGGUCAGGGAUGAGCUCGCGGCCUAUCAGCUUGUUGGUGAGGUAACGGCUCACCAAGGCGACGACGGGUAGCCGGCCUGAGAGGGGGACCGACCACAGGGGGAACAGACCACGGCCCAGACUCCUAGGGGAGGAAGCAGUGGGGAAUUUGACACAAUGGGGGAAAGCCAGAUGCAGAACCGCGGCGGGAGGGAGGAGGGCCUUCGGGUUGUAAACCUUUUUUAGAAGGGAAGAAGCGAAAGUGACGGUACCGGCAGAAAAAGCACCGGCUAACUACGUGCCAGCCGCCGCGGUAA
This 484-nucleotide ribosomal RNA is filed under the name uncultured bacterium. Its description in RNAcentral is "partial 16S ribosomal RNA". It matches the Rfam family "Bacterial small subunit ribosomal RNA", at positions 28 to 523 of the family's 1533-position model. The record is from RNAcentral.